AGAAGAAUGUAAAGAAGCAAACAAGUAACAAAACAAGCAUUCUAAGCUUUAGGAAUAUUAUCAACAACUUGUAGAAACCUAAAAAUUACCUCUACAAGACACAAGACUCAUCCAAACUUUUCUCUUUGACAAAGCGAGACACGAAAAUAAAGAUCCAAAAUAACUAGCUGAAUUUUAAAAUAAGACAAUGAAAAUAAUAUUACCCAAGAAAGAUCCAA
Molecule: unclassified non-coding RNA, 218 nt
Filed under: Hevea brasiliensis (rubber tree)
Lineage: Eukaryota; Viridiplantae; Streptophyta; Magnoliopsida; Malpighiales; Euphorbiaceae
Source: RNAcentral